Long non-coding RNA from Gossypium arboreum, 284 nucleotides. RefSeq lists it as uncharacterized. The transcript has 2 exons. The record is from RefSeq and is a predicted model, not a curated record. NCBI's taxonomy places the organism in Eukaryota, Viridiplantae, Streptophyta, Magnoliopsida, Malvales, Malvaceae.
ACAAAAAACGUCAUUUUUCAUCGAAAAUGACAAACCUUGGCCUCCCACGGCAGCACACGCGCAAGAAAGGUACGAAGGCCAGCUGUGUAUGGAGGUGCUAACAUGGAGGAGCGGCAGUGGCUGGUCCUAGGGUUUCUUUGUUCUUUUUGCUGAAGAUAGGGUUUAUUUUCUAUUUUGGGCUUGGGCUUUUAGGGUUUGGUUAAUUUAGGCUUGGGUUUAUGAUUGUAAAAUGGGUUUCUUUUUUUUUAUUUAUAUUUUGGGCUUAAAAAAACUGGAUUGUUUAA